AACGCGAAGAACCUUACCUGGGUUUGACAUACACCAGAAAGCUAUAGAGAUAUAGCCCCCCUUGUGGUUGGUGUACAGGUGGUGCAUGGCUGUCGUCAGCUCGUGUCGUGAGAUGUUGGGUUAAGUCCCGCAACGAGCGCAACCCUUAUCUUAUGUUGCCAGCGCGUAAUGGCGGGGACUCGUGAGAGACUGCCGGGGUCAACUCGGAGGAAGGUGGGGACGACGUCAAGUCAUCAUGCCCCUUAUGUCCAGGGCUUCACACAUGCUACAAUGGCCGGUACAGAGGGCUGCGAUACCGUGAGGUGGAGCGAAUCCCUUAAAGCCGGUCUCAGUUCGGAUCGGGGUCUGCAACUCGACCCCGUGAAGUUGGAGUCGCUAGUAAUCGCAGAUCAGCAACGCUGCGGUGAAUACGUUCCCGGGCCUUGUA
Molecule: ribosomal RNA, 427 nt
Filed under: uncultured Actinomycetes bacterium
Lineage: Bacteria; Bacillati; Actinomycetota; Actinomycetes
Description: bacterial SSU rRNA
Rfam family: Bacterial small subunit ribosomal RNA
Source: RNAcentral